GCAGGUAUGCUGAUAGUCUACAAAUAAGCUUGCUCAGGAGUUUAACAGAUUAGGAUAGGUAGAGGGUGAAGAUGCUGAUGAUUAUAAGGUGUAUUAUAUGCGUUCUAAGAACUAGGCCAUUAGAGGGUGUUUUAGUGCAAUAUUUCAUAACCAAACCCAUUGAUGUUUUAGUAAUCUUGUAAAUACGCAACCAAGACUUAUUUCACUGUUGGUGACAAUUGCCCCUGAAGGCAUUUUUGUUAAAUAAGGC
Non-coding RNA from Pelobates cultripes (western spadefoot toad), 250 nucleotides. The record is from the annotation of a GenBank genome assembly. NCBI's taxonomy places the organism in Eukaryota, Metazoa, Chordata, Amphibia, Anura, Pelobatidae.